RNAcentral lists this ribosomal RNA (265 nucleotides) under uncultured bacterium. RNAcentral's name for it is "partial 16S ribosomal RNA". It matches the Rfam family "Bacterial small subunit ribosomal RNA", at positions 88 to 354 of the family's 1533-position model. The record is from RNAcentral.
AUGGCGACCGGCGCACGGGUGAGUAACACGUAUCCAACCUGCCGAUGACUCGGGGAUAGCCUUUCGAAAGAAAGAUUAAUACCCGAUGGCAUAGUUCUUCCGCAUGGUAGAACUAUUAAAGAAUUUCGGUCAUCGAUGGGGAUGCGUUCCAUUAGCUUGUUGGCGGGGUAACGGCCCACCGAGGCAUCGAUGGAUAGGGGUUCUGAGAGGAAGGUCCCCCACAUUGGAACUGAGACACGGUCCAAACUCCUACGGAAGGCAGCAG